This 482-nucleotide ribosomal RNA is filed under the name uncultured bacterium. Its description in RNAcentral is "SSU rRNA". It matches the Rfam family "Bacterial small subunit ribosomal RNA", at positions 26 to 517 of the family's 1533-position model. The record is from RNAcentral.
AGGACGAACGCUGGCGGCGUGCCUAACACAUGCAAGUCGAACGCGCUCCAUUCGGUAGCAAUACUGAUGAAGAGCGAGUGGCGAACGGGUGAGUAGCACGUGAGCAACCUGCCCCGAAGACUGGGACAACACCGGGAAACCGGUGCUAAUACCGGAUAUCCCUAUCGGAUCGCAUGAUCUGAUAAGGAAAUGUUUUUCGCUUCGGGAGGGGCUCGCGGCCUAUCAGCUAGUUGGUGGGGUAACGGCCUACCAAGGCAUCGACGGGUAGCUGGUCUGAGAGGACGAUCAGCCACACUGGGACUGAGACACGGCCCAGACUCCUACGGGAGGCAGCAGUGGGGAAUCUUGCGCAAUGGGCGAAAGCCUGACGCAGCAACGCCGCGUGGAGGACGAAGGCUUUCUGAGUUGUAAACUCCUUUCAGCAGGGACGAUUGUGACGGUACCUGCAGAAGAAGCACCGGCCAACUACGUGCCAGCAGCCG